CUCAAAGGAAUUGACGGGGACCCGCACAAGCGGUGGAUGAUGUGGUUUAAUUCGAUGCAACGCGAAAAACCUUACCCACCUUUGACAUGUACGGAAUUCGCCAGAGAUGGCUUAGUGCUCGAAAGAGAACCGUAACACAGGUGCUGCAUGGCUGUCGUCAGCUCGUGUCGUGAGAUGUUGGGUUAAGUCCCGCAACGAGCGCAACCCUUGUCAUUAGUUGCUACAUUUAGUUGGGCACUCUAAUGAGACUGCCGGUGACAAACCGGAGGAAGGUGGGGAUGACGUCAAGUCCUCAUGGCCCUUAUAGGUGGGGCUACACACGUCAUACAAUGGCUGGUACAAAGGGUUGCCAACCCGCGAGGGGGAGCUAAUCCCAUAAAACCAGUCGUAGUCCGGAUCGCAGUCUGCAACUCGACUGCGUGAAGUCGGAAUCGCUAGUAAUCGUGGAUCAGAAUGUCACGGUGAAUACGUUCCCGGGUCUUGUACACACCGCCCGUCACACCAUGGGAGCGGGUUCUGCCAGAAGUAGUUAGCCUAACCGCAAGGAGGGCGAUUACCACGGCAGGGUUCGUGACUGGGGUGAAGU
RNAcentral lists this ribosomal RNA (586 nucleotides) under Variovorax sp. V-O7-5. Its description in RNAcentral is "bacterial SSU rRNA". It matches the Rfam family "Bacterial small subunit ribosomal RNA", at positions 900 to 1486 of the family's 1533-position model. The record is from RNAcentral. Lineage: Bacteria; Pseudomonadati; Pseudomonadota; Betaproteobacteria; Burkholderiales; Comamonadaceae.